GAGGAUUUAGCUUAAUAAAAGCGAUUGAUUUGCAUUCAUUAGAUGUAAGAAGUAAUCUUGCAGUCCUUA
RNAcentral lists this transfer RNA (69 nucleotides) under Sapayoa aenigma (broad-billed sapayoa). It matches the Rfam family "tRNA". Rfam says of the family: Transfer RNA (tRNA) molecules are approximately 80 nucleotides in length. Their secondary structure includes four short double-helical elements and three loops (D, anti-codon, and T loops). Further hydrogen bonds mediate the characteristic L-shaped molecular structure. tRNAs have two regions of fundamental functional importance: the anti-codon, which is responsible for specific mRNA codon recognition, and the 3' end, to which the tRNAs corresponding amino acid is attached (by aminoacyl-tRNA synthetases). tRNAs cope with the degeneracy of the genetic code in two manners: having more than one tRNA (with a specific anti-codon) for a particular amino acid; and 'wobble' base-pairing, i.e. permitting non-standard base-pairing at the 3rd anti-codon position. RNAcentral also lists the same sequence under 3 other names. Lineage: Eukaryota; Metazoa; Chordata; Aves; Passeriformes; Tyrannidae. The record is from Rfam by way of RNAcentral.